RNAcentral lists this transfer RNA (73 nucleotides) under Nocardiopsaceae bacterium. Its description in RNAcentral is "tRNA-Arg". It matches the Rfam family "tRNA". From Rfam's summary of the family: Transfer RNA (tRNA) molecules are approximately 80 nucleotides in length. Their secondary structure includes four short double-helical elements and three loops (D, anti-codon, and T loops). Further hydrogen bonds mediate the characteristic L-shaped molecular structure. tRNAs have two regions of fundamental functional importance: the anti-codon, which is responsible for specific mRNA codon recognition, and the 3' end, to which the tRNAs corresponding amino acid is attached (by aminoacyl-tRNA synthetases). tRNAs cope with the degeneracy of the genetic code in two manners: having more than one tRNA (with a specific anti-codon) for a particular amino acid; and 'wobble' base-pairing, i.e. permitting non-standard base-pairing at the 3rd anti-codon position. The record is from RNAcentral. Lineage: Bacteria; Bacillati; Actinomycetota; Actinomycetes; Streptosporangiales; Nocardiopsidaceae.
GCACCUGUAGCUCAGUGGAUAGAGCACCGGACUUCUAAUCCGACGGUCGCAGGUUCGAAUCCUGCCAGGUGCG